UUGGCAGACAUCUGUCGGAGGAAUGACCCUUCUCGGGGAGACAGACAACACUCGGUCCCCACAAGUGCACCGUCACCCCCUGCUGCUGCUGGUCCUUACCCGUGGCGGCGGCAGGGCACCCCGGCAGUGGGCGAGUGGGAGGGGGGAGGGGAAGAGGCGGGCAGACCCACCUCCCCAGGCGGCCUGGCUGGGCCAGAGCUGGUGAAGACCAGGCCAGCAGGACAGACCCGGACCCCGUGAGGCGCCUGUGAAAACAAGCCAGUCCCGGAGACAAGCUGCAGGUGCCGCGUGGGGACCUGGGACGCUAGGCCAGCAGCGGGACCAGGCUCCCGGGGCAGGAAGCACCGGAAGUUUCCUUGGGGCCCCCCUUGGACACGGCCGGGAGGACCCUCGCCUGCCCGUGGUGAGGGUGCCGCCUGCCGGCACGUGCGCUGCUGCCCUGUGUCUGCUCUUGUGGGACGGCGGCUCCUUCCUGCGACUCGGAGCCUGUGUUCAGGGCUGCACUCCAGGCUUCAGCUGACGGAUUCCAGGACCCGACCACAGCGGAGCCACGGAGCUGCCCUAUUGGUAACAGCCCCAAACUGGAAAAGUCCAGAUGUGCAUGUGAGCGAGUCGUCAGCCUGUGGUCCGGCCAUCCAGCUGAGCAGCGCUCCCGCGGCCAGAGACGCAGCAUGGCACAGCACGCGGGGAGCGUGCCGCGGGGAGAGCCGGUCCCAGAGGCUGCGGCGUCCCGUCCCUGUCGUCCGCUCUCCGAGCUCGGCGCCUCCUGAAACCAGGACCUGCUGCAGAUCACAGCCCGUCCCUGAGCCCAACAGCCGGCCGGCCG
Eptesicus fuscus (big brown bat) is the source of this 826-nucleotide long non-coding RNA. RefSeq lists it as uncharacterized. The transcript has 3 exons. NCBI's taxonomy places the organism in Eukaryota, Metazoa, Chordata, Mammalia, Chiroptera, Vespertilionidae. The record is from RefSeq and is a predicted model, not a curated record.